Long non-coding RNA from Camelina sativa (false flax), 1029 nucleotides. RefSeq lists it as uncharacterized. NCBI's taxonomy places the organism in Eukaryota, Viridiplantae, Streptophyta, Magnoliopsida, Brassicales, Brassicaceae. The record is from RefSeq and is a predicted model, not a curated record.
AUUUUACAGAUUCGAUUUUUUCUUUUUUUUUCCUUUCUCUCUCUCUCUCUCUCUCUCAGCUGCGAUAAAAACCGACUCGAAGAAUUUGGGAUCAGAAAAAGAAUUUGGGAUCAGAUCCUUGAAGCUUUUGACUCAAAGGACCUGGAAUCAGAGGAAAGGUUUGGAUAGAGAGAAGAGGAUGCAGGAGAUCUCUCUCCUUCGAACGAUCCCUUACUCUGACCACAACAGGUGGUGGUCUUGUGAAAAUGUAGCAGUGGUGACCGGUUGGAAUUGGACUUGAGAUUGUAAGGCAGCUUGCAUGUCAUGGAUUGACUGUUGUUCUUACAGCCAGAAACGUGGAUGCUGGCCAUAAAGCAGUUAAAUCCUUGAGGGACCAAGAAAAAAGUCUCAAGAUUGAUUUUCAUCAGCUUGAUGUCACGGAUGCUUGUUUAAUCUUAGCUGAUUGGUAAAGUUAUUGUUCUGAAUGUGAUCAACCCCUAAGUUUGAUUUCUCUCUCUCUCUUUCGAUUGUCCUUUUGAAAAUGUUUUGACUUUAGUACUCUCUGUUCCAUUCAAAUGUUGCCAUGAAACUUUGGUGAUAUGCUGGCUUGUAGUUGUUCUCUGGUCACAUUUGCUUUGAUCAGAGCUUUUCCUCUGUUUGCAUUUUCUAGAUUUGUUUUCCUCUGUAGUUGUUCCUUCUUUUUUGCUGGUAAUUCUUCUCAUUAUCUAGAAUCGCUUCAAUUCAAUUGUGUUGCCAUGAAGCUUUUGGGAAUACAAGAGGUUAAAGACAUGACUGCUCUUGAUUUCUGGCCUCGUCUGAUAAGCCACACUUGGUUGAUUUAUAUUUUGUGUGAAGAGAAGAAGUUGAGAGAGACAUGGCUGCUUUGUUUGUGGAUUAUUGAGAAUGCUUAACCAGAAUCAACAACUUUAGUUUUUUUUUUCUUUCUUCUUUUACAAUAUGUUGUAAAUUUCUUGUAAAUGUUAUGUAAUAGAAUACUAAAUUACAUUGAUUUUUUCCUCAUAUAAAUGUAAUCCUUGAUAUUCUAUACCA